RNAcentral lists this long non-coding RNA (413 nucleotides) under Sinocyclocheilus anshuiensis. Its description in RNAcentral is "lncRNA (ENSSANG00000006153.1)". Lineage: Eukaryota; Metazoa; Chordata; Actinopteri; Cypriniformes; Cyprinidae. The record is from RNAcentral.
AUACUGAAAGUUAACUGCUGUAGUAUAGGUAUAAUAAUAACAUAAUGGUAUAUUUACUCAGCCAUGAAGAUGGAGAGGACAACGAAGAGCAGGUGAAAGAGAAUGACAAAGCAGGUGAAGAGAACAGUGCAGGGAAAGAUGGAGAGCCACAUCUUCAGGAUGACAUCAGAAGAGAGGAGUUAGAUGGAGAAUGCAGAGAUGCAACAGAGGAGGAAGCGGAGGAAAGACCUUACCCAGAGGACCCAUCGGACUGGCCUUCACCCCAUCAAAUUACUGACACUUUUAGGCAAAACAUGACUGAGAGAGGGCCUUUGAAAUGUCCUGAUGGGCCAUAUCCUAGAUCCGAGGUGAGUAACAGGCGAUUUUCAAAGGCCUACUGUUAUUGCUUAUUAUCAAAUGGGGAGAGAAUUGAG